CAUGGGUUCUCUAGUACGCCGUGGAUUACUAUUGCGGGGGACAAAGGUGCGGGACUUAAAUGCAAGGAUGCCGGUGAAGAUAGUUUUGUUGGUUCAGAACUUGCGAGGAGAAUAGCCAAGACGGCUCCCAUCAUUGGAGGUUCUGAGGCCUCUUCCCUUUUGUCUGGUCGAAAAGGAACAGUUUUGGAUUUGGCGAAGUUUGUCGACAAGGGUCUCCAAAUCAAGUUGACUGGUGGAAGACAAGCUUUCACGACGAUCGGGUUCAAGUAAUUUGGAGUAUGAGUCUUUUGCACUAGAGUAUCAACCCUCCUGGGUUCUCCAAGAAUCGGCAGCCAUCUAUGUAAAGAGUCUAUUGUAAAUAAGAAUUAAGUGUGUAUGGUAGUACUUCGGCCUUCUUUGUAUUGUGGCUCCAAUAAGACCGCCUUGUUUCUUAGCCAAAGAAAUAAAAAUUUUGAUCCGAAAUCAAUUUCCAGUUGUA
Sesamum indicum (sesame) is the source of this 478-nucleotide non-coding RNA. The record is from RefSeq and is a predicted model, not a curated record. Lineage: Eukaryota; Viridiplantae; Streptophyta; Magnoliopsida; Lamiales; Pedaliaceae.